AAGCACGCAAUGGCAACUGCCGGGGUACUGAGCAGUUCAAAAGCCAUCUGGUGAUCGUCAUGGCUA
Molecule: small RNA, 66 nt
Filed under: Sinorhizobium meliloti 2011
Lineage: Bacteria; Pseudomonadati; Pseudomonadota; Alphaproteobacteria; Hyphomicrobiales; Rhizobiaceae
Description: putative ncRNA
Source: RNAcentral